CAACUUUGAGCGGUGGAUCACUCGGCUCGUGUGUCGAUGAAGAGCGCAGCCAACUGUGUGAAUUAAUGUGAACUGCAA
This 78-nucleotide ribosomal RNA is filed under the name Proctotrema sp. CG-2015. RNAcentral describes it as "partial 5.8S ribosomal RNA". It matches the Rfam family "5.8S ribosomal RNA", at positions 1 to 77 of the family's 154-position model. From Rfam's summary of the family: 5.8S ribosomal RNA (5.8S rRNA) is a component of the large subunit of the eukaryotic ribosome. It is transcribed by RNA polymerase I as part of the 45S precursor that also contains 18S and 28S rRNA. Lineage: Eukaryota; Metazoa; Platyhelminthes; Trematoda; Plagiorchiida; Monorchiidae. The record is from RNAcentral.